Molecule: ribosomal RNA, 476 nt
Filed under: Austropotamobius torrentium (stone crayfish)
Lineage: Eukaryota; Metazoa; Arthropoda; Malacostraca; Decapoda; Astacidae
Description: partial 16S ribosomal RNA
Rfam family: Bacterial large subunit ribosomal RNA
Source: RNAcentral
ACCUGCCCAUUGAGAUUUAAAAGGCCGCGGUAUUAUGACCGUGCUAAGGUAGCAUAAUCAUUAGUCUUUUAAUUGGAGGCUGGAAUGAAUGGUCGGACAAGAGAUAAGCUGUCUUAAGUAAAAAUAUUGAAUUUAACUUUUAAGUGAAAAGGCUUAAAUUUUCUAGGGGGACGAUAAGACCCUAUAAAACUUUAUAUUUUGAAAUAAUAAUUAAUUUUAUAUGGGAGUUUUAUUUUUAAAUAUUUUAUUGGGGUGAUAAGGAUAAAAUAACAAAUAACUGUCUUUUUUUUAUUACAAUAAUAUUUGAGCAAAUGAACCUAGUAAGGGAAAGAAGAUUAAGUUACUUUAGGGAUAACAGCGUAAUUUUUUUUAAGAGUUCUUAUCGACAAGAAAGUUUGCGACCUCGAUGUUGAAUUAAAAGUUCUUUAUAGAGCAGAAACUAUAAAAGAAGGUCUGUUCGACCUUUAAAAUUUUAC